CUUUGCUGGCGACCGGCGCACGGGUGAGUAACACGUAUCCAACCUGCCCUUCACUCGGGGAUAGCCUUUCGAAAGAAAGAUUAAUACCCGAUGGCAUAAUGAUUCCGCAUGGUUUCAUUAUUAAAGGAUUCCGGUAAAGGAUGGGGAUGCGUUCCAUUAGGUUGUUGGUGAGGUAACGGCCCACCAAGCCUUCGAUGGACAGGGGUUCUGAGAGGAAGGUCCCCCACAUUGGAACUGAGACACGGUCCAA
Molecule: ribosomal RNA, 250 nt
Filed under: uncultured bacterium
Lineage: Bacteria
Description: partial 16S ribosomal RNA
Rfam family: Bacterial small subunit ribosomal RNA
Source: RNAcentral